This 433-nucleotide ribosomal RNA is filed under the name uncultured bacterium. Its description in RNAcentral is "partial 16S ribosomal RNA". It matches the Rfam family "Bacterial small subunit ribosomal RNA", at positions 29 to 507 of the family's 1533-position model. The record is from RNAcentral.
AACGAACGCUGGCGGCAUGCCUAACACAUGCAAGUCGAACGAGACCUUCGGGCCUAGUGGCGCACGGGUGCGUAACGCGUGGGAACCUGCCCUUAGGUUCGGAAUAACUCCCCGAAAGGGGUGCUAAUACCGGAUAAUGUCUUCGGACCAAAGAUUUAUCGCCUUUGGAUGGGCCCGCGUUGGAUUAGCUAGUUGGUAGGGUAAAAGCCUACCAAGGCGACGAUCCAUAGCUGGUCUGAGAGGAUGAUCAGCCACACUGGGACUGAGACACGGCCCAGACUCCUACGGGAGGCAGCAGUGGGGAAUAUUGGACAAUGGGCGAAAGCCUGAUACAGCAAUGCCGCGUGAGUGAUGAAGGCCUUAGGGUUGUAAAGCUCUUUUACCCGGGAUGAUAAUGACAGUACCGGGAGAAUAAGCUCCGGCUAACUACGUG